This 920-nucleotide ribosomal RNA is filed under the name uncultured bacterium. RNAcentral describes it as "bacterial SSU rRNA". It matches the Rfam family "Bacterial small subunit ribosomal RNA", at positions 72 to 990 of the family's 1533-position model. The record is from RNAcentral.
ACAGGAGCUUGCUCCUGAAUUCAGCGGCGGACGGGUGAGUAAUGCCUAGGAAUCUGCCUGGUAGUGGGGGACAACGUUUCGAAAGGAACGCUAAUACCGCAUACGUCCUACGGGAGAAAGCAGGGGACCUUCGGGCCUUGCGCUAUCAGAUGAGCCUAGGUCGGAUUAGCUAGUUGGUGAGGUAAUGGCUCACCAAGGCGACGAUCCGUAACUGGUCUGAGAGGAUGAUCAGUCACACUGGAACUGAGACACGGUCCAGACUCCUACGGGAGGCAGCAGUGGGGAAUAUUGGACAAUGGGCGAAAGCCUGAUCCAGCCAUGCCGCGUGUGUGAAGAAGGUCUUCGGAUUGUAAAGCACUUUAAGUUGGGAGGAAGGGCAUUAACCUAAUACGUUAGUGUUUUGACGUUACCGACAGAAUAAGCACCGGCUAACUCUGUGCCAGCAGCCGCGGUAAUACAGAGGGUGCAAGCGUUAAUCGGAAUUACUGGGCGUAAAGCGCGCGUAGGUGGUUUGUUAAGUUGGAUGUGAAAGCCCCGGGCUCAACCUGGGAACUGCAUUCAAAACUGACAAGCUAGAGUAUGGUAGAGGGUGGUGGAAUUUCCUGUGUAGCGGUGAAAUGCGUAGAUAUAGGAAGGAACACAGUGGCGAAGGCGACCGCCUGGACUGAUACUGACACUGAGGUGCGAAGCGUGGGGAGCAAACAGGAUUAGAUACCCUGGUAGUCCACGCCGUAAACGAUGUCAACUAGCCGUUGGGAGCCUUGAGCUCUUAGUGGCGCAGCUAACGCAUUAAGUUGACCGCCUGGGGAGUACGGGCGCAAGGUUAAAACUCAAAUGAAUUGACGGGGGCCCGCACAAGCGGUGGAGCAUGUGGUUUAAUCCGAAGCAACGCGAAGAACCUUACCAGGGCUUGACAUCCA